CCUACGGGGGGCAGCAGUGAGGAAUAUUGGUCAAUGGGCGGGAGCCUGAACCAGCCAAGCCGCGUGAGGGAAGAAGGUACAGCGUAUCGUAAACCUCUUUUGUCAGGGAACAAAGGCGGGGACUAGUCCCCGGAUGAGGGUACCUGAAGAAAAAGCAUCGGCUAACUCCGUGCCAGCAGCCGCGGUAAUACGGAGGAUGCGAGCGUUAUCCGGAUUUAUUGGGUUUAAAGGGUGCGCAGGCGGCCUGUUAAGUCAGCGGGAAAAGCCCGGGGCUCAACCCCGGCGAGCCGUUGAAACUGGCGGGCUGGAGUUGGAGAGAAGUAUGCGGAAUGCGCGGUGUAGCGGUGAAAUGCAUAGAUAUCGCGCAGAACUCCGAUUGCGAAGGCAGCAUGCCGGCUCCACACUGACGCUGAGGCACGAAAGCGUGGGUAUCGAACAGGAUUAGAUACCCUUGUAGUC
RNAcentral lists this ribosomal RNA (459 nucleotides) under uncultured bacterium. RNAcentral describes it as "partial 16S ribosomal RNA". It matches the Rfam family "Bacterial small subunit ribosomal RNA", at positions 338 to 795 of the family's 1533-position model. The record is from RNAcentral.